AGUCCAUGAUGAGAACACCUUCUCAACAAAUCUUUAAAUCUCUCCCACAUUCAUAAAGAGUCUUAAUAUCAAACUGAACAAAAAAAGAGAUGUCAUUGCUCAACUU
Non-coding RNA from Gossypium raimondii (Peruvian cotton), 106 nucleotides. Lineage: Eukaryota; Viridiplantae; Streptophyta; Magnoliopsida; Malvales; Malvaceae. The record is from Rfam.